This 9620-nucleotide long non-coding RNA is filed under the name Trifolium pratense (red clover). RNAcentral describes it as "long non-coding RNA (TPRA_LNC000980)". The record is from RNAcentral. Lineage: Eukaryota; Viridiplantae; Streptophyta; Magnoliopsida; Fabales; Fabaceae.
CCACUUCUGUGUCUCUAACAACUUCUCCUCAAAACUCUUUGCCCUGUUGAUGGAAAUGGAAUCAUUGCCAAUCAACUAAUCCAGAAGUGUAAAACUAAAAGUAGCAAAAUGAUCUGGGCGAAUCACCAUAUUAGCAAUGAUGUGUUAAAAUCCUCUUCUUGUUGGUUCUUGUCCAUAAUGUUGUUCUUUGAAUUCUCUACAUUACAGCUAUUGCAUUUUAAAUCAUUUUCUUUAGUAAUAACUGUUAAACAUAUUUCAUGUUUGUAUUUCUACUUCCUAGUUUUGGCAGACAGAAGCAGCAAGCCUGAGACAACAACUGCAGUACUUGCAAGAAAGCCAUAGGUAAAAUAAAUAAAUAUAUAAAUAAUAAGCACCUAACAGUUGCAUAAUUGUAAUAGGAGUAUUGAACCUAACAUGUUAAUAAUGACCCUUUUUUGCUAAAAGAUUAGUACAUUAUUCUGGGGUGAGGGGGCAUAAAAAGGAAAGAAAAGGGGAAGUUUUGCCAUCCAUUUCAGAUGAAAAUGUAUUUUUGUAUUUUCUUUUCGGUAAAAGCAGGCAAUUGAUGGGUGAAGGACUUGCUGGUUUGGGUAUUAAAGAACUGCAAAAUCUGGAAAACCAGCUGGAGAUUAGUCUAAAGGGUGUUCGAAUGAAAAAGGUAUGCAGGAUCAAUUCAAAUCUCAUCCAUUCAACAUUACGUAUUUGUUACGGCACAUUAAUGACUAUUACACUGUCAUUUAUUUCCCUGUAGGAUCAUAUUUUGACUAAUGAGAUCAAAGAACUACACCAAAAGGUAUUGGGAGUCUGGUUUUCUAGCUGUAUUAGACUAAGCUUUCCCACAAAUUCUGACCAAUUUCCAUUAAUGCCAUUGUAGGGAUCUCUUGUUCAUCAAGAAAAUGUAGAACUCCAUAAGAAGAUGGACCUUGUCCAAAAAGAAAAUUCAGAGCUACUGAAGAAGGUAAAUGAUAAAAAAAAAUGUUAAUCAUCUUCACGUAAAUACAUACACAUCAUAAAAGACUGAACACACACAGACACAACCAUAUCUGCACAACAUGUUUUUCAUUAGGCCAAAUACUACUACAUCUAGAAGCUAAAAAGCUUCAAUACACAUCAUAAAAGACUGAACACACACAGACACAACCAUAUCUGCACAACAUGUUUUUCAUUAGGCCAAAUACUACUACAUCUAGAAGCUAAAAAGCUUCAAGUUAACUUGUGCUAAACCUAAACAAAAGAUUUGGAUAUUAGGUUUAUGAAGCAAGGAGUACAAAUGAAGAAAAUGCAACAAGCAAUCUUUCAUGCACUAUCAGAAACGGAUUUGAUUUACAUGCACCUAUCAGUCUCCAGCUAAGCCAGCCACAGCCUCAAUACAGUGAACCAGCAGCCAAAGCCAUGAAAUUAGGGUAUUCCCUUAAACUGAUGAUGUACAACAUAUAGCUUCAGUGUACACCUUUUCUUUCUAAUUUCUUCAAAAACUAAACGCCUAAAUUCUGAACCAGAUUACAGCUGCAUUAGCAAGAACUGUUCGAUAAUCACCUAUGCUUUCAAUUCUGAAAAGUUGUCACGAACCAGUUCAAACAUGUAAUCAUGCUGAUAUGUGUGGGAUCUUGUAGUUCAACAACCACAUUGUUCAAUUCAACAGAAUAGAGUAUGAUAUUUCCUAUCAAGAAGCUUACAAUUGCUAUUAAGGAUCAGACAUAAUGAUUGCCUCUGUAAAUUUUAUGAAAUAAAGAUAUCAAUGAUUGUGCCUUGUGUUGUUUUAUAUAAUUUCUACAUCUCUCAUGAUCAAUUUAAUGGAAUUUGGAACAUAACUACUUUGUGCCUGCCUAUACAUGUGUAGUUCAUCCUGUCACGGUAAUUAUUUUAUUCCUCUCAAACGAUAAGCAUGACUUGCGAUUCUUCAUAAUGAAUUAUACAUAAGAAUUACCAAACAAUAACGUGGGAACAGAGAUAUCCCUGAAUGUGACUCAAUAAUCUUGUAUUGAUCAGCCAGGUAUAUAAUGCUACAACAUAAAUAUAGGAGUAGACAACUUACAUUUAGGCCUCCUCCGGAUAUAUCUAACACACAUUCAGCAGAAACAGAAAGUUAUCUACCGGGAAUAGGAAAAACUUCAUGUUUAGAAGCACACCCAAAAAAGUAUAUACAUAGUUAAAGCAUCUGAUAUUCUGAUCAAAAUUUCAAUCAUUUAUUAGUAUGCAUAUCGCAGCUGACAUCACAAAUACACAAGGAAAAAGUUACCAUGUAUAUGGGCACUGUCUCCAUAUGUUUGAGAAUGCACAAAUGGUUGUGUAGAAACAAUCAUUCUUGACUAAUCCAGGAAGUCCUCAUUCCAUUUGGAAGAGAACUCAGCUGUAGGGUGACAUCACUGACUGUAUGAUUAUAAGAGUUAAAUGAAUUGCAACUGUGUUCAGAAAAUUCAGAUACAAACAAUUUUUUUUGGGGGAAAUAACUAUUAGCUAAUACCUGAUAGCACACAAUUAUGUCUAAGCAAAGUUGCAGCAUUUCAUAUUCGCCCUAAACCCUACAUAUUGACGAUCAAAGGUAUAACGUUAAUCACAUAGCCACAUGUCAUGUGGCACAAUCCCCGUGGUCUCACUAUCACACUAGUGAAAAGUCACAAGAGCAACAGUAUAUGCCAGUAAGUGAAAACACUUACCUAAUGAAAAGGGUGGCCAUCAACAGUAUCACAUCAAAUGGCUAAAAUAAAUAACAGUAUCAACAAUACAACUGGAAAAACAGUGGAAAGGUAUGUUAUAGCACUUAUUAUUUUACAAAUUUUUUAUACAUAAAAUUAGUAUGAGAUUGCCAAUAAUAACAAUAAAGUUGCUUUUCUUGUGGAUGCAUCAGGUGUGCAAUAGAACAAUUUGGUGGGCUAUCAAAGUCUAGGCCUAUACUCUCACAGGUCAACCCUGGAUUACUAUAAAGAUCAAAUUCAUCAGAAAAGCAAAGUUCGUGUGCGUGAACCGUGAAGGCCAGUGAAGGCAAAAUAUAAAGAUUUUACACAAGGAAGCCUAUAAUGAGUAAAAUUCGAUUUGUUAUGAACCAAUCUAUGUAGCCCAAAAAUUGUUAAACCACAAUCCUAAAGUACAAAAAUUGUUAUGAACCAAUCAUGUACAGAAAGCAAAUGAUUCCUGUAGUUCCAAUCUUUUCAUAGGUGACGUGAAUAUUCAAAUGAUUCCUGUCUAUAUUUAAAAAAAUGGUAAUUGUAGGGCUGUUCAUGGGCUUUAAAGCAAAUGCACAAGUUAUCAACAUUACACGGAUGAAAUAAAGGACAUUGAUGUUUAUAGAAUGAUUAUAAAUUUUGUCUUAAAGCAUACUUCAAGGUUCAAGAGCAACCACUAUAAGCAUUCAAAAAUAUCUGAUUGCAUGAUUUAUCAGCAUGAGGGGACGGAUCUAUUGAUAAUAUAUUUAGUAGAAUAAACCACCAGGAAGCAGUAAAGCCUGACCAUGGGUCAAACUGAACUGGGUCAUCCAUAUUGAUUUUGGACAAUAUUAAAUAUUAUACUAGUGAGAGAUGGGCAGUGUGUUGGACCUCUCAUUAAAAAAUACUAUGUAAGGAAGGGAAACCAAAACUGACUUGGCAGUUUUUGUAUCAAUUUCUGUGUCAGUAAGUAACUAUUUAUGAGCAGUUACUUUCUAGUGUGUAUGUGUGUGUGUAUUUUCUGUUGUACUAGGAAUAAAUACGGAAAAGUCAGAACAGAACAUAGUUGGUUAUCCUAGACUAUUGUGUGAUUAUUUGGAAAAGGAGAGACACAAGGCUCUCAAACCCUUGUGGAAACUGUGACUGUGUUAGCUUGUCCUGUGUAAUUUCAAUUUUGUGCAAGUGUGUUUAACUGUGUACUACUGUCUCUGAUUUGGGAACUCUUCCCCAGAGAAUAAUUCAAUAAAUUAAUUGUUAUUUAGUUAUGAAUCCUAUUUUUGUACCAGUUGCUAUCAGUGUUUCGAUAUCUGAGAAAACUCUCAUCAUAAGCCCUCUGCUUCAUCUUUAAAGAAGAUUUUUACCAAACCACAGUUCACUGGCCCUCCUCUCCUGCCUACCAUCUUAAGUGUUCCAUUUGCUAAAAGCCAUGUUACAAGAAAAUGAAAUGAUAGAAAGCAGAACUAGGGGAGUAAUUACAGAUUUGGGUAAAUCUAAAACAUCGCUGCAAGUUACAAGGGUCUAUUUGUUUUUAAAAAAUGAUUUCGGGUUCCUUUGAUUAAGCUUUAAAAAAAUGAUUUUGUUUUGAAAAAAUCUAGAUAUUCAUUUAUGGAGANNNNNNNNNNNNNNNNNNNNNNNNNNNNNNNNNNNNNNNNNNNNNNNAAACUAAAGCUAAUUUACGUUUGUUUACUGUCUAAAAAAUCUUCUUUUUUUUUUUAAAAUGGGAAGCUCCUACACUUAGGUUCCUUAAUUUUAAAAAAAAAAAUAGAUUCUUGAAAAGCUAUUAGGAUUAACUUUUCAUUUUGGGGUUAAAAAUGAUUUUUUUUACAGAAUGAUUUUCUAAAAAAUCUAUAACAAACAUUAUCAAAAUGAUAAAAUAGAUUUUUUGUUAAAAAAAUCCAAAACAAACAGACCCUUCAUUUUCUGUGUUGGCAUUUAUUUGCAAAACAGACACCUUUUUAACUUUGUUUCCUUUUACCAAAUAUUUGAAAGCAAAAUUGUAAAUAAAAGUGAAAAUUGUUUUCACUGCCUCCUUCACAAAUACUUUAAAACAACAAAGCAGGAGAAAACAGAGUGGUAGUUUUGUGAAUAAAAGUGACAAUAGGAAAUGUUUCUUUUCUUAACUAAGACACCUCAGGUUUAAACCACAACCGUGUAAAUGUUAUUUCAUUCUCUUCUCAAUUAGGAUAUAGGUUUAUAUGGUAGUUAGUUACUAGUUAGCUAAAUUUCUGGGCUGAGACUCAACUUGUCAGCUUGUAAUUAAAUACAAUCUAUAAGAGAAUUCUCCAGCUGGAGAACACAAUUUUUGGCUUACAUUACAUUUCUCUGAAUUUGCAAAUAAAGUAUCUAGAAGGCUUGUAGAACUCUUUUUUCCAACAAUCAAGAAGUAUGCCUCUAUACACCAGUUUAAUAAGUUUCAUUUUUAGUUGACAGAAAACCAAAUCCCAAAACAAACCCAACAUUUGCAUAACCAUAUAAUGAUUUUGUUAUACACUAGGUGUUGCCUAUAAAGCCCACUGUGUUGUACCCAUAUCUGAUAUCAUACGUGGAUAAUACUCCUAGUAUAUGUAUCCGUAAAACAAAACAAGAUAAAAACAAAGAACUAUGGAAACUGCUCCUGAGAGAUAUUCAAAGCUCCUCUAAUGUAAAAAACUUAUCCUACAAGAUAAUCUAAAAUGAUAUUAACAUGUUGUAAGAUAUAUUCCAAUCAUUUAACACUCCAGCUCAAGUUUCAUAAGUUUGUUAUAUUACAAAAGAGAAAAAUAACCAAAUAAUAUAAUUUACAUUGAAUUGGGAAGUUGGGACUAAAUCACAAUUGGGACAGGAUAACUUGUGUCUUAAGACAAAAUCAAUGCCAAACUACAACUGAGACAAAACCAGUGCCAAACCACAACCGAGACAAAACAAAUGCCAAACCACAACUGAGACGAAGAAACCAAUGUUUUCAAAGAAACACAUCAAACCAUAGGUCAGAUCAGAGAAGCAAGGGUAGAUCAUAUAAUGUGGAGGUGCCGCUGGAGUUGCUAAUAGUGGAAAAAACCAAAUUCUAAUUAGACCCACAGGACAAAAGUGGCCUUGAUAAAACUAAGAAAAUCCCACAAACCAAACUUGACCAGCAACGUGGUGAACAGGCAGUAAGAAGGUUACACGCGGCCUUCAAAUGCCGACUGAAACAAAAAGCUUGACGGCUGAAAUGUAAAGGCAAUGUCCUACCUCAGUUAUACUAGUUGAAGUUCUAGGGUAUUGGAUAAGCAGAAAGAGAAAAAUUAAAGUGUGCAUUUGAUCUGCUAAAAAUGAGGGAUGGGACAAAUUCAGUUGUACAAUGUUUGAUUUUAAAACUAUUUAUGGGACUAGACAAAUUGGGGGUAAGGGACUGGACAAAAAUAUUAAUGUGCCUCACUAAACCACAAGACAAUUUUUUGUCCCAGAUAUAAGUUGUUUAAAACAACAAAAUAAUCUUUUGUCCACAUAAACAUCAUACAAGACAAGAAGUUGUUCAAUACCUUAAAACUUUGUCAUGUAUUGUUUUGUCCUAUGUAGUACUUAUCUUUUACAAAUCAAACGGGCCUAAGACUUUGUAUUACGAAUAUGGUUUAGAAUGAUUAUUAUUAUUAUUAUUUGAUACAAAAAGACUAAACAUUAACCUUUUUUAUAGGGAAACAAAUCAUGAUAAAGCAAAGAAAUAUAAAACUAAUCUUAAGAGAUAUUCUAAGAUAAGAAACUAAUCCUACAAGAUAAUCUAAGAUACUCUAGGAUAAUAUCAAGAUAUUAUAAGAUAAUUUCCAAUCUUCUGACACUUGGAACGAUAAAACUAUAUUGAUAGUUUUUUUUUUUUUUGAAUUACUAUAUUGAUAUUGUUAAGAGUACCAACAUUGGAUGAGAUAAGCCUUGAACAUGGAUUUAUAUGUAGAGGCAGUCCUCUCCUUACAAGCCGGUUUUGUAGAGUUGAGUUAGGCCCAACUCAAAAUCCAUUGGGCCACCUUCUAUUAGGUUUCCUCUAUCGGACCACCCACCAUUUAUAUCCAUGCACCAAGCUCAAUAGUGUUGGACGCGAGGGGGUAUGUUAAGAGUCCCAAAUUGGAUGAGAUAAGGCAUGGACAUCAGGACAUAGGUUUAUAAGUAAAGGCAGUCCUCACCUUACAAGCCGGUUUUUUAGGGUUGGGUUAGGCCCAACGCAAAUUCUACGAGAUAUUAAUGUAAAUGAUAUAUUGGAUGUUAUUUCAAAUGUCAGGAUAAUCCUUAUUAAUACUUGCACAAAACUUUAUUUUCAUUACAUAAGUAUGAGGAUAUAUGGAAAACAGUUAUAUCUAAAUUGUCUAAAUUACUCUAAGAUACACCUUCGAUAUUAUGAGAUAUUGUUCAUGUAUUCUAAUAAUGCAAUUAACUGCAUAGUUAUAGGACCUAAAAUGAUAUAUGAGAUUCAAAGUAGGACGACAACUAAUCAACAAAAAAGUCAGCUCGCGUAGAGAUGAUAAUGUUAAAUUGGUUGAGCAGUGUCACAAAGCCAAGAAAAAUCAAGAAUACAAUAAUGAGAAAAAAAAAUGGGGUAUUCAUGUUUUUCUUUAUAAACUCGUGAAGCGUACGUAGACUGAAUUAGUAAACUCGUAAGAGUUUGAAGGAUGACUCUUCCUGAUUCUAACAUGAAACAAGAUUGAAAGUGAGAAAACUCAUUUUUCUUACAUAGAAUUGUAGAAUUGAGUUGACUUGAUAGAUUGACAACCUUGGUUAUGUCAACAUAAAGCUUAUCAGGCGGCCAAGAGGCAUCUAUCAUUUUUCUAGCUCUACAAGAUCCCUAAUAUUUGUGUUAUAAUCAAAUGACCCCUUUUUAAUUAUGUUGUUAUUUUCUUUCAGUAAACUUAACUCUCCAACUACCUAGUGAGAUUAUGCAUGAUUACAUUUGAAAACAGGUAAUCAACCUUCCUUUCUCUUUCAUGAGACAGUUAAAGAUAAUGCCAUACCUCUAAUAGAUCAUAAAAUGAAAGACAUGUGGAUGUAAGAUUCUUGUUAUUAUUGCAGCUGCAUAGCUAAUCUGAAGACAAUACUCCAGUUCAACGUGCAUCUUUUCUGGAUACAAAUAAGGGGGAGAUGUCAUGAUUAUUUAUCAAUGAAUAGAAAAUGACUAUAUAUUAAAAUUAUAGGAAUGCAUGUUUACAAUAACUUGGUAGAUAAUGAUAGGUAAAUUAAUUGUGAACUUGUCUUACAAACAACUAUGCUUGGUAGAAAAAUGACAAAGUAGACUUAGUUUUUAUUUUUGAAUUCCUCGUGUGCUUGGUAGCGUGUCUCUUCAUAUUAAAUUCUUAGAAAAAUAUUUCAUAUCCAAUCAUUAAUCAUGGGAAGCUUGUUUAGCAAUACAUUGGAAACAUGACUCCGUUUAAACUUUUGCUACAAACAACAACCAUAAUUUCAAUGAAACAUUAGCAUUUUUUAUCAAGAAAUUACGCAAAUUUUCUUCCAAUACAAAAUCAUAUUUUCCUCUCUUUUAUAGGACUAAUUAUAGUGUGACUAGUAAGGAAGACGGAUCUUGAAAGUUAAAUGAGUUGCAGCUGACAAGAUUUGGUUGAAGAUUCCCGAACCUUCUCCUCUUUAUCUUGAAAGCACUAAAUUGGAUAUAUUGACAUCAUUUUUCAGUAACUAAACUAGCACUUAAAUUAAUUCAAGAUUAUGACCUAAUUAUAUCUUUUUGAAAAUAGGGAUGUUUGCGUAAAUAACUCAAUUCAGCACUUAUUUGAUAAACACUUAUCAUACAAGUUGUUUUCACAAUCAAAGGUAAACCAAGGGUAAACUCUACAUAAACUGUGUAUUCUAUAAGUUAUCUUAGAAAAAUUAUAAAAAUAAAGAGAAAAACAUGUCAUGAGCAUAUUAUAAGCUCGUCCAAAAACUGACACAAGUGUUUAUGUCUUACAAUAAUUCCAAAUAAGCUCUUCUAAAGUUCCCCUUAAAACUCUAAGCUAAGUCCACUUUAUUUUUUAAGUGACUAAAGUCCACCUUAAUUGUCUACAUAUACUACAUUAUACAAAAUCUUAUAAACCAAACUGUAAAUAGAAAGGAAAUGAAAGAAAAUUAUCAUAAAACCAGUGCCCUUGUUAAAAUUGUAGAGAUAUAUGCAUGUGAUGAAAAUUCAUUCAUUCAUCCAAUACUCCCUACAUAGUACUCCUUCUAGUCUAAUAUAUAAGCAAACAUAUAUAAGUAAAGAUUCUUUUUUUUAUGUUCAUUGAAUAACUGAUGUAUCUAUCUGGUCUAUAUAUGACCAGAUACAUUGGUUAUUCAACGAACCUGAAAAUAAAUAUUUGCUUAUAUAUGAGACCGGAAGGAGUAAACCUAAUUACAUUAAUACUCUCACAGUUAUUAUUUGUAACUAACUACAUUAGCACACUAAUGCAAACACAAUUAUAAGGUCACCAAGGCAUUAAUGGAUCGAAAAUUGUGAGAAAAAAAAUAACGCACUAUUACUUGAUUAUGACAAUAGAAUUUCGAGAACGAUUUCAGUAUUUGACAUGCAAAGAUGAAGAUAAGGAAAAUAUAUAUUAAAAUAAUGAGUUAGUAUAAAUAGAAGGAAAAAAAUGAAAACCUAGAGAGAUUUUUGUGGAUUGAAGGCCGGAAUUUUGAUGAGAAGGCGGCGGAAUGAGUGAACCACCGUGAAGAUAGGGCAUGACGGGGAGAAUGAAGAAGAGAAGAAACGAAUCGGUCGGAGUGAGUGACGUUGGGAUGCGAGCGAGAAGAAUGUGUUUGGCUUUUGGUAAGCAAAGGGAACGAACGAAAGGGUUCGGUUCGUUUCUAACCAAUCACAAGACGAAGAUCCUCCGCGGUGUCCAACUACCAACUGAAUUCUCAAUUUUAUUUUCAAUAAAUAAUAAAUGGGUUUCAACUCCGAAACAUUCAUACCAUCUGAAUUAAGUUUACAGAACGACUUGUUUUAAGUUUAUGUGAAUUUAUCUAUUACUAAUAUAUUAAAAUUAGGGUUAUGUUAACUUGUGUCCUAAGGAC